This is a long non-coding RNA of Papilio machaon (common yellow swallowtail), 253 nucleotides long. RefSeq lists it as uncharacterized. The transcript is spliced from 3 exons. The record is from RefSeq and is a predicted model, not a curated record. Lineage: Eukaryota; Metazoa; Arthropoda; Insecta; Lepidoptera; Papilionidae.
GUAUUUAGUGUUUAUUUUAUCUUUUAUAGAUUUAUUUAAAUGUUUGUAUUUUAUUUCAGUUGGGUCGGUUUGAACUGGAUCAUGUUUUAAAAGAUCUCACACCACCUGUGAUGAACAUUUAAAAUAUAGGCAUGAAGACAUGCAGUGGAACAAUUUUACUUGCAAACUUGUUUUGAAACACUUAAGCCAAAGGUACGAGGGGAGGUCCAAAAGUUCGCGGAAUGGAGGGGAUGGAGUGGGGAUAGGGUAGCUC